AAACCAUGCAGCUGUGGACAGAACUCGCCUCGGGACCUCGGGCUGGGAGUGUCUCAGAGCAGUGCAUGCCAGGCCUCCACAUCCCACCAACACAUGCUGCAGCACUGUCUGACUUCAGCAUCUGAAUGCAUGAGAAGCGGAGUCUCACUGGGGCUGUAAUCUGCAUUCUCCAGUGACCGGCAGUGCCACGCAGCAUCCCCCUGCUCACUGGCCACUGUAUGUCUAUGGAGAAACAUCUGUCCAGACCCAUCGCCCAUCUCUGCACCUUUCUGCUCAUUUCUAAGAGACGAGUUCUCCCUAUGUUGCCCAAGCUGCUCUCAAACUCCUGGGCUCAAGCGAUCCACCUGCCUUGGCCUCCCGAAGUGCUGGGAUUACAGGCGUGAGCCACCGCGCCCGGCCCACAUGAAUGAUUUAUUCCACUUGGCGCUCCUUUUCCUCGUUUCACUGUACAUCGAUGAAGACAUUGGCACCAACGCACAGGUCCAUGGAUCAGAGUUGAGGAAAGUCUGUUCCAAUCUUAACCCUUUUGGUGCUGGCUUUGUUUUACUGAAGACGAAACAGAGGGUCCAAGUGGUUACAUCCCGAGCGCCGGCAGUGGCUGCACGAGGCAGGACUGCCUCCAGCUCUAACUGUACUGCACCUGCACCCACCAGCCAGGGUCCGCCGCUUUCAGCCGGAAUCCAUAGACAAUUCACACGGCAAAGAGAGGAGACCAAGCUUGGGUUUCAAAAUGAGCUGAAAUAUCAAAGCAGAAUAAAGUCACUUCUUUAAACGUGGGGCCAUUUCAGAGUUAAUUUCACAAAAGGAGACAUCGUGUUGCUUCAAACUGCUGUGCAAACAUCAGAGUGACUCGUUAUCUAAGUCUCAGUCAGAAACACUGGCAGUCACUUCUGAUCUGCGUUAGAUUGUAAGUCAUUUGUUCUCCUCUAAAUAGCAACAAGAGGCCGGGCAUGGUGGUUCAUGCCUGUAAUCCCAACACUUUGGGAGGCCGAGGCAGGUGGAUCACAAGGUCAAGAGAUCAAGACCAUGCUGGCCAACAUGGUGAAGCCCUGUCUCUACUAAAAAUACAAAAAUUAGCCGGGUGUGGUGAUGCGCACCCAUAAUACCAGCUACACGGGAAGCUGAGGCAGAAGAAUCACUUAAACCUGGGAGGCAGAGGUUGCAGUGAACCGAGAUCACGCCACUGCACUCCAGCCUGGGGACAGAGCGAAACUCCAUCUCAAAAAAAAAAGAAAAAAAGAAAAGAAACUCUGAAGUCAGUCUGAAGCCUGGGAGGGACAAAGGUGUUUUGCAGGUUCCUGCAGCUCAGGCACCCAGCGGGGGCUCACUUGAGAGGGUUAAGAGGGUGAGUGCCUGGGAGGAGCCUUCAAUCAAAACUUAGCUGUAGCUGAGUCCAACUGUGUGGUACCUCCCCAGCACAGCCCUCUGACCUGGGAACAGGCCCAGAGAACACAGAGGGAGUGAAGGUUGGUUAUCUCCCCCUGAGGUCUGCGCUCCUACCCCUGGCUCCUGAUCCGAGCCCUUGCUGUCAGAGAAGACAGGAACCUCACACUUCCUGAACACGCGCAAUGCCCCUACCAAAACACGGGAGCUGCAGGCGGGCCUUUGGUCUUCUUCUGCUCCGUGCCCAUUGCCAUCUUCCAGAAGACACACAUCAUGCCUGUUCUCUCCUUCCACGCCAGGCCAGGGGAGAGGGUGGCCCCCACCCCAACCCCAACUCUGCUCCAACCGAAGGAGCCUCCUCCUGUGUGCACCCCCGUCCCCAGCACGGCGCAGCUCUACCACCAAACAGACAAAGCACAGCCAGCUCUGAUUGACCCAGGGAGGCCGGGGACCUUGCCCUCUGGAGCAGCCCACAUGGCCCACGGAUGGCGCAGUGGCCCCCACACAGAAGGCUGCCCUUGGGCUCCUUUCCGGAGCGGCAUGGCCCGGAGGAAGUGGCCAGGUAGCAAGGCCAGGCUACAGUGAGGCUGGCGGAAAGAAGAGGAAAUGGGCGUGGACACCAUCUGCCGGACUCAGAGCCCUGGGGACUCAGGCAGUCUGACAGCAACCUUGGCCCAUGAAAACACGGAGCCUAAGGGGCUCCCGGGAGAGGACAGUCCAGGCUCCGAGCCCAGCUCAGAUGAGAGGCUGCCCGGAUAAUGACCUUCAGAGGGCUCUGCUCAUCAUUACAUGAAAUUAUGCAAAUGAGACUUUAUGUAUUUAUUUAAGAGUCUCUGUUGCCCAGGUUGGAGUGCAGUGGUGUGAUCUGGGCUCAUUGCAAUCUCCACCUCCCAGGUUCAAGUAAUUCUCAUGCCUCAGCCUCCCAAGUAGAUGGGAUUACAGGCGUGAGCCACCGUGCCUGGCCAAGACUCUUUUAAAAUGCGAAUUCAGGCCAGGCGAGGUGGCUCAGGCCUGUAACCCCAGCACUUUGGGAGGCCGAGGCAGGUGGAUCACCUGAGGUCAGGAGUUCAAGACCAGCCUGGCCAACAGGGUGAAACCCCGUCUCUACUAAAAAUACAAAAAUUAGCUGGGUGUGGUG
RNAcentral lists this long non-coding RNA (2521 nucleotides) under Homo sapiens (human). RNAcentral describes it as "HSALNT0387761". The record is from RNAcentral. Lineage: Eukaryota; Metazoa; Chordata; Mammalia; Primates; Hominidae.